Small nucleolar RNA from Bufo bufo (common toad), 78 nucleotides. RefSeq annotates it as small nucleolar RNA SNORD72. The record is from RefSeq and is a predicted model, not a curated record. The transcript has a single exon. NCBI's taxonomy places the organism in Eukaryota, Metazoa, Chordata, Amphibia, Anura, Bufonidae.
CAUUUAUCGAUGAUGUUCUGUAAUAAAUGUCUGAACAGAUGACUUUCGCUGAUUUCUCUUCUGUCGCUGAGAUGAAUG